Molecule: non-coding RNA, 112 nt
Organism: Acanthosepion pharaonis
Lineage: Eukaryota; Metazoa; Mollusca; Cephalopoda; Sepiida; Sepiidae
Source: the annotation of a GenBank genome assembly
AUGGUUAUAUCACAAUGAAACACUGGUUCCUAUAAAAACACUGAAGUUAAGCAACAUCAAGCCUGGUCAGUACCUAAGUGGGUAACCACUUGGGAAUACCAGGUGCUGUAAG